RNAcentral lists this ribosomal RNA (462 nucleotides) under uncultured bacterium. RNAcentral describes it as "bacterial SSU rRNA". It matches the Rfam family "Bacterial small subunit ribosomal RNA", at positions 33 to 507 of the family's 1533-position model. The record is from RNAcentral.
GACGACGCUGGCGGCGUGCUUAACACAUGCAAGUCGAGCGAUGAAACACCUUCGGGUGUGAAUUAGCGGCGAACGGGUGAGGAACACGUGAGAAAUCUGCCUUCAACUCUGGGAUAACUCCGUGAAAACGGGGCUAAUACCGGAUAUGAGCCUUGAUCGCAUGAUCGGGGCUGGAAAGUUUUUCGGUUGAAGAUGAUCUCGCGGCCUAUCAGCUUGUUGGUGAGGUAAUGGCUCACCAAGGCGACGACGGGUAGCCGGCCUGAGAGGGCGACCGGCCACACUGGGACUGAGACACGGCCCAGACUCCUACGGGAGGCAGCAGUGGGGAAUAUUGGGCAAUGGAGGAAACUCUGACCCAGCGACGCCGCGUGAGGGAUGAAGGCCUUCGGGUUGUAAACCUCUUUCAGUAGGGAAGAAGCGAAAGUGACGGUACCUACAGAAGAAGCACCGGCUAACUAUGUG